GACGAACGCUGGCGGCGUGCCUAAUACAUGCAAGUAGAACGCACAGUAUAUACCGUAGCUUGCUACACCAUAGACUGUGAGUUGCGAACGGGCGAGUAACGCGUAGGUAACCUGCCUGGUAGCGGGGGAUAACUAUUGGAAACGAUAGCUAAUACCGCAUAAUAUUAAUUAUUGCAUGAUAAUUGAUUGAAAGAUGCAACUGCAUCACUACCAGAUGGACCUGCGUUGUAUUAGCUAGUAGGUGAGGUAACGGCUCACCUAGGCGACGAUACAUAGCCGACCUGAGAGGGUGAUCGGCCACACUGGGACUGAGACACGGCCCAGACUCCUACGGGAGGCAGCAGUAGGGAAUCUUCGGCAAUGGACGAAAGUCUGACCGAGCAACGCCGCGUGAGUGAAGAAGGUUUUCGGAUCGUAAAGCUCUGUUGUAAGAGAAGAACGGGUGUGAGAGUGGAAAGUUCGCACUGUGACGGUAUCUUACCAGAAAGGGACGGCUAACUACGUGCCAGCAGCCGCGGUAAUACGUAGGUCCCGAGCGUUGUCCGGAUUUAUUGGGCGUAAAGCGAGCGCAGGCGGUUAGAUAAGUCUGAAGUUAAAGGCUGUGGCUUAACCAUAGUACGCUUUGGAAACUGUUUAACUUGAGUGCAGAAGGGGAGAGUGGAAUUCCAUGUGUAGCGGUGAAAUGCGUAGAUAUAUGGAGGAACACCGGUGGCGAAAGCGGCUCUCUGGUCUGUAACUGACGCUGAGGCUCGAAAGCGUGGGGAGCGAACAGG
RNAcentral lists this ribosomal RNA (773 nucleotides) under uncultured Streptococcus sp. Its description in RNAcentral is "bacterial SSU rRNA". It matches the Rfam family "Bacterial small subunit ribosomal RNA", at positions 28 to 776 of the family's 1533-position model. Lineage: Bacteria; Bacillati; Bacillota; Bacilli; Lactobacillales; Streptococcaceae. The record is from RNAcentral.